AACCACAUCAUGCUGAAACACUGGUUCCCAUAUGAUCACCAGAGUUAAGCAAUGUCAAGCCUAGUUAGUACCUAGAUAGGUGACCACUUGGAAAUAUCAGGUGCUGUAAG
Molecule: non-coding RNA, 110 nt
Organism: Acanthosepion pharaonis
Lineage: Eukaryota; Metazoa; Mollusca; Cephalopoda; Sepiida; Sepiidae
Source: the annotation of a GenBank genome assembly